Molecule: unclassified non-coding RNA, 22 nt
Filed under: Mus musculus (house mouse)
Lineage: Eukaryota; Metazoa; Chordata; Mammalia; Rodentia; Muridae
Description: oocyte_clustered_small_RNA4080
Source: RNAcentral
AGCAAUGCCCCUUACUCAUCCU